Molecule: ribosomal RNA, 253 nt
Filed under: uncultured bacterium
Lineage: Bacteria
Description: partial 16S ribosomal RNA
Rfam family: Bacterial small subunit ribosomal RNA
Source: RNAcentral
UACGUAGGGUGCAAGCGUUGUCCGGAAUUAUUGGGCGUAAAGAGCUCGUAGGCGGUUUGUCGCGUCUGCUGUGAAAACUCGGGGCUCAACUCCGAGCUUGCAGUGGGUACGGGCAGACUAGAGUGCGGUAGGGGAGACUGGAAUUCCUGGUGUAGCGGUGGAAUGCGCAGAUAUCAGGAGGAACACCGGUGGCGAAGGCGGGUCUCUGGACAGUUCCUGACGCUGAGGCACGAAGGUCAGGGGAGCAAACGGG